This 684-nucleotide long non-coding RNA is filed under the name Ananas comosus (pineapple). RNAcentral describes it as "long non-coding RNA (ACOM_LNC007077)". Lineage: Eukaryota; Viridiplantae; Streptophyta; Magnoliopsida; Poales; Bromeliaceae. The record is from RNAcentral.
CACUCCUUAAUGGCCCUGACAGACUUUUUUUACAAAAUAACUCUUUCAAAUUUUAGUAUUUACGAAAUAACCUUACCAAAAUUAUAUUUAAAAAAACUAACCAUCUUUUUGCAAUGUAGGAGCCAAGUUGGAAUUUUCUCUUAAAAAUGGUGAACGAUUUACCGCCUUUAUGAAAAUAGUGAAUGAUUCACCGCCUUCCUAAUUUCUCAAAAGAGCGGUGAAUCAUUCACCGUCUUUCACUUAUUUACUAAUUUUUUAUAUAUCCUAUAUAUAAUUCUAACAACCACAUAAAUAUUUCAAAAAAUCACAUAUAAUUUUAACAACUUGAAAAUUCUAAUAAUCUAUCCAUACAAUCCUAACAAUCAAAAAAAUUCUAAUAAUCUAUCUAUAUAAUCCUAACAAUCAACCAAAAAAUUCAAACGAUCCAUAUACAAUCCUAACAACCUCAAUUUUUUUCAACAAAUCACAUAUAAUUUUAACAACUUGAAAAAUCUAAUAAUCUAUCCGUACAAUCCUAACAAUAAAAAAAAAUCUUAAUAAUCUAUUCAUACAAUCAUAACAAUCAAACAAAAAUUUUAAUAAUCCAUAUACAAUCCAAACAACCUCACUUUUUUUUUUCUCAUAUAAUGUACGUACAAAUUUAACAACCUCAUCGUGUAAUAAAAAAUUACCAAGUCAAUGUAU